Molecule: ribosomal RNA, 505 nt
Filed under: uncultured bacterium
Lineage: Bacteria
Description: partial 16S ribosomal RNA
Rfam family: Bacterial small subunit ribosomal RNA
Source: RNAcentral
GACGAACGCUGGCGGCGUGCCUAAUACAUGCCAGUAGAACGCACAGUUUAUACCGUAGCUUGCUACACCAUAGACUGUGAGUUGCGAACGGGUGAGUAACGCGUAGGUAACCUGCCUGGUAGCGGGGGAUAACUAUUGGAAACGAUAGCUAAUACCGCAUAAUAUUGAUUAUUGCAUGAUAAUUAAUUGAAAGGUGCAAUUGCACCACUACCAGAUGGACCUGCGUUGUAUUAGCUAGUAGGUGAGGUAACGGCUCACCUAGGCGACGAUACAUAGCCGACCUGAGAGGGUGAUCGGCCACACUGGGACGGAGACACGGCCCAGACUCCUACGGGAGGCAGCAGUAGGGAAUCUUCGGCAAUGGACGAAAGGCUGACCGAGCAACGCCGCGUGAGUGAAGAAGGUUUUCGGAUCGUAAAGCUCUGUUGUAAGAGAAGAACGGGUGUGAGAGUGGAAAGUUCACACUGUGACGGUAUCUUACCAGAAAGGGACGGCUAACUACGUG